GAUGAACGCUAGCGGAGGCUUAACACAUGCAAGUCGAGGGGCAUCACGAGGUAGCAAUACUUUGGUGGCGACCGGCGCACGGGUGAGUAACACGUAUGCAACCUACCCUGUACAGGGGGAUAACCCGGAGAAAUUCGGACUAAUAUCCCAUGCAAUUAUUGGAGGGCAUCCUUUGAUAAUUAAAGCUCAGGCGGUAUAGGAUGGGCAUGCGGAACAUUAGCUAGUUGGUAGGGUAACGGCCUACCAAGGCUACGAUGUUUAGGGGACCUGAGAGGGUUAUCCCCCACACUGGUACUGAGACACGGACCAGACUCCUACGGGAGGCAGCAGUGAGGAAUAUUGGUCAAUGGGCGCAAGCCUGAACCAGCCAUCCCGCGUGCAGGAAGACGGCCCUAUGGGUUGUAAACUGCUUUUCCAGGGAGAGAAACUUACGCACGUGUUGCGUGACUGACGGUACCCUGGGAAUAAGCAUCGGCUAACUCCGUG
This 486-nucleotide ribosomal RNA is filed under the name uncultured bacterium. Its description in RNAcentral is "bacterial SSU rRNA". It matches the Rfam family "Bacterial small subunit ribosomal RNA", at positions 28 to 507 of the family's 1533-position model. The record is from RNAcentral.